UACGGAAGGCAGCAGUGGGGAAUAUUGCACAAUGGGCGCAAGCCUGAUGCAGCCAUGCCGCGUGUAUGAAGAAGGCCUUCGGGUUGUAAAGUACUUUCAGUCGUGAGGAAGGUGUUAAGGUUAAUAACCUUAGCAAUUGACGUUAGCGACAGAAGAAGCACCGGCUAACUCCGUGCCAGCAGCCGCGGUAAUACGGAGGGUGCGAGCGUUAAUCGGAAUUACUGGGCGUAAAGGGCACGCAGGCGGUUAAUUAAGUUGGAUGUGAAAUCCCCGGGCUUAACCCGGGAAUGGCAUUCAAGACUGGUUAGCUAGAGUCUUGUAGAGGGGGUAGAAUUCCAUGUGUAGCGGUGAAAUGCGUAGAGAUGUGGAGGAAUACCGGUGGCGAAGGCGGCCCCUGGGACAAAGACUGACGCUCAUGUGCGAAAGCGUGGGGAGCAAACAGGGAUUAGAUACC
Molecule: ribosomal RNA, 454 nt
Filed under: uncultured bacterium
Lineage: Bacteria
Description: bacterial SSU rRNA
Rfam family: Bacterial small subunit ribosomal RNA
Source: RNAcentral